GCCGGGCGUGGUGGCGGGCGCCUGUAAUCCCAGCUACUCGGGAGGCUGAGGCAGGAGAAUGGCCUGAACCCAGGAGGUGGAGCUUGCAGUGAGCCGAGAUCACGCCACUGCACUCCAGCCUGGGUGACAGAGCGAGACUCUGUCUCAA
RNAcentral lists this non-coding RNA (148 nucleotides) under Homo sapiens (human). The record is from Rfam by way of RNAcentral. Lineage: Eukaryota; Metazoa; Chordata; Mammalia; Primates; Hominidae.